Molecule: ribosomal RNA, 508 nt
Filed under: uncultured bacterium
Lineage: Bacteria
Description: partial 16S ribosomal RNA
Rfam family: Bacterial small subunit ribosomal RNA
Source: RNAcentral
AUUGAACGCUGGCGGCAUGCCUUACACAUGCAAGUCGAACGGCAGCGGGGGAGAAGCUUGCCUUUCCUGCCGGCGAGUGGCGAACGGGUGAGUAAUACAUCGGAACGUGCCCUGUAGUGGGGGAUAACUAGUCGAAAGAUUAGCUAAUACCGCAUACGGCCUGAGGGUGAAAGUGGGGGACCGCAAGGCCUCAUGCUAUAGGAGCGGCCGAUGUCUGAUUAGCUAGUUGGUGGGGUAAAGGCCUACCAAGGCGACGAUCAGUAGCUGGUCUGAGAGGACGAUCAGCCACACUGGGACUGAGACACGGCCCAGACUCCUACGGGAGGCAGCAGUGGGGAAUUUUGGACAAUGGGCGAAAGCCUGAUCCAGCAAUGCCGCGUGUGUGAAGAAGGCCUUCGGGUUGUAAAGCACUUUUGUCCGGAAAGAAAUGGCUCUGGUUAAUACCUGGGGUCGAUGACGGUACCGGAAGAAUAAGGACCGGCUAACUACGUGCCAGCCGCCGCCGUAA